This 204-nucleotide long non-coding RNA is filed under the name Physcomitrium patens. RNAcentral describes it as "long non-coding RNA (PPAT_LNC010880)". The record is from RNAcentral. Lineage: Eukaryota; Viridiplantae; Streptophyta; Bryopsida; Funariales; Funariaceae.
GGAUACGUAGUGAAGAUGGAAGGAAAAUUGUACAAUUUCUAACAAUACAUCUUAAUUAUGAACGGAAUCAAGAUAGGUUGAGGGAGAAACCAUUGCCAAGGAUUAUUGAAGAAUUUAAGGAUUUUGGAAAAGUACUAUUAUAAAGCAAGAUUAUAGAGGUAUAAAAAAAGAGGUACUCUCACAAAAUGAAGGUAUCUUUGAUGC